AUACGGAGGAUCCGAGCGUUAUCCGGAUUUAUUGGGUUUAAAGGGUGCGCAGGCGGCCAUUUAAGUCAGCGGUUAAAUCGUGGGGCUCAACCCCAUUCUGCCGUUGAUACUGGGGGGCUUGAUUGCGGUCGAGGUUGGCGGAAUUCGUUGUGUAGCGGUGAAAUGCAUAGAUAUGACGAAGAACACCGAUUGCGUAGGCAGCUGACCAGACCGCAAAUGACGCUCAUGCACGAAAGUGCGGGGAUCGAACAGGAUUAGAUACCCUGGUAGUCCGCACAGUAAACGAUGAAUACUUGUUUUCGGCGAUAUAAUGUCGGAGGCAAAGCGAAAGCGAUAAGUAUUCCACCUGGGGAGUACGCCGGCAACGGUGAAACUCAAAUGAAUUGGCGGGG
RNAcentral lists this ribosomal RNA (392 nucleotides) under uncultured bacterium. Its description in RNAcentral is "partial 16S ribosomal RNA". It matches the Rfam family "Bacterial small subunit ribosomal RNA", at positions 523 to 918 of the family's 1533-position model. The record is from RNAcentral.